CCUACGGGGGGCUGCAGUGGGGAAUAUUGGACAAUGGGCGAAAGCCUGAUCCAGCAAUGCCGCGUGUGUGAAGAAGGCCUUCGGGUUGUAAAGCACUUUCAGUGGGGAAGAAAGCCUUGGGGCUAAUACCCUCGAGGAAGGACAUCACCCACAGAAGAAGCACCGGCUAACUCCGUGCCAGCAGCCGCGGUAAUACGGAGGGUGCGAGCGUUAAUCGGAAUUACUGGGCGUAAAGCGCGCGUAGGCGGUCUGAUAAGCCGGUUGUGAAAGCCCCGGGCUCAACCUGGGAACGGCAUCCGGAACUGUCAGGCUAGAGUGCAGGAGAGGAAGGUAGAAUUCCCGGUGUAGCGGUGAAAUGCGUAGAGAUCGGGAGGAAUACCAGUGGCGAAGGCGGCCUUCUGGACUGACACUGACGCUGAGGUGCGAAAGCGUGGGUAGCAAACAGGAUUAGAUACCCGUGUAGUC
This 465-nucleotide ribosomal RNA is filed under the name Vreelandella stevensii. RNAcentral's name for it is "partial 16S ribosomal RNA". It matches the Rfam family "Bacterial small subunit ribosomal RNA", at positions 338 to 795 of the family's 1533-position model. Lineage: Bacteria; Pseudomonadati; Pseudomonadota; Gammaproteobacteria; Oceanospirillales; Halomonadaceae. The record is from RNAcentral.